This 253-nucleotide ribosomal RNA is filed under the name uncultured bacterium. RNAcentral's name for it is "partial 16S ribosomal RNA". It matches the Rfam family "Bacterial small subunit ribosomal RNA", at positions 524 to 776 of the family's 1533-position model. The record is from RNAcentral.
UACGUAGGGUGCAAGCGUUAAUCGGAAUUACUGGGCGUAAAGCGUGCGCAGGCGGCUUUGCAAGACAGAUGUGAAAUCCCCGGGCUUAACCUGGGAACUGCAUUUGUGACUGCAUGGCUGGAGUGCGGCAGAGGGGGAUGGAAUUCCGCGUGUAGCAGUGAAAUGCGUAGAUAUCAGGAGGAAUACCGAUGGCGAAGGCAGGUCUCUGGGCUGACACUGACGCUCAUGCACGAAAGCGUGGGGAGCAAACAGG